RNAcentral lists this ribosomal RNA (301 nucleotides) under uncultured bacterium. RNAcentral's name for it is "partial 16S ribosomal RNA". It matches the Rfam family "Bacterial small subunit ribosomal RNA", at positions 509 to 807 of the family's 1533-position model. The record is from RNAcentral.
CAGUCGCCACGGGAAUACGAAGGGUGCAAGCGUUACUCGGAAUCACUGGGCGUAAAGCGUGCGUAGGUGGUGGUUUAAGUCCGUUGUGAAAGCCCUGGGCUCAACCUGGGAAUUGCAGUGGAUACUGGGUCACUAGAGUGUGGUAGAGGAUAGUGGAAUUUCCGGUGUAGCAGUGAAAUGCGUAGAGAUCGGAAGGAACAUCUGUGGCGAAGGCGACUAUCUGGGCCAACACUGACACUGAGGCACGAAAGCGUGGGGAGCAAACAGGAUUAGAUACCCCCGUAGUCCCUGUCUCUUAUAC